This 1108-nucleotide ribosomal RNA is filed under the name uncultured organism. Its description in RNAcentral is "bacterial SSU rRNA". It matches the Rfam family "Bacterial small subunit ribosomal RNA", at positions 88 to 1197 of the family's 1533-position model. The record is from RNAcentral.
UUUGAGAGUGGCGGACGGGUGAGUAACACGUAGGUAAUCUACCUAGAAGUUGGGGAUAGCCUGUGGAAACACAGGGUAAUACCGAAUGAGACCAUGUAAAUGGUGAAAGAGGCUAAGGCCUCGCUUUUAGUUGAGCCUGCGGCUCAUUAGCUAGUUGGUGGGGUAACGGCCUACCAAGGCGACGAUGAGUAGCCGGCCUGAGAGGGCGACCGGUCACACUGGGACUGAGACACGGCCCAGACUCCUACGGGAGGCAGCAGCUAAGAAUCUUCCGCAAUGGUCGAAAGGCUGACGGAGCGACGCCGCGUGGACGAAGAAGGCCGGAAGGUUGUAAAGUCCUUUUCUCAGAGAAGAAUAAUGUGGGGAGGGAAUGCCCUACAGAUGACGUUAUCUGAGGAAGAAGCCCCGGCUAAUUACGUGCCAGCAGCCGCGGUAACACGUAAGGGGCAAGCGUUGUUCGGAAUUAUUGGGCGUAAAGGGCGCGUAGGCGGCUGAGCAAGCCUGGUGUGAAAGGCCACAGCUUAACUGUGGGAGUGCGCUGGGAACUGCUUGGCUGGAGUUCAGGAGGGGAAUCUGGAAUUCCUGGUGUAGGGGUGAAAUCUGUAGAUAUCACGAAGAACACCUGUGGCGAAGGCGAGAUUCUGGCCAUGAACUGACGCUGAGGCGCGAAAGCGUGGGGAGCGAACAGGAUUAGAUAGCCUGGUAGUCCACGCUGUAAACGAUUGUGCACUAGGUGUUGGCUGUUGUAACGGUCAGUGCCGAAGCAAACGCGAUAAGUGCACCGCCUGGGGAGUAUGCUCGCAAGGGUGAAACUCAAAGGAAUUGACGGGGGCCCGCACAAGCGGUGGAGCAUGUGGUUUAAUUCGAUGAUACGCGAGGAACCUUACCAGGGCUUGACAUAUGCAUGACGGUCGUAGAGAUACGGCUUCCCUUCGGGGCGUGCAUACAGGUGCUGCAUGGUGUCGUCAGCUCGUGCUGUGAGGUGUUGAGUUAAGUCCCGCAACGAGCGCAACCCCUGCUGUCUGUUACCAGCACGUAAUGGUGGGGACUCAGACGGUACUGCCGGUGACAAACCGGAGGAAGGUGGGGAUGACGUCAAAUCAUCAUG